UACGGGGGGAGCAAGCGUUGUUCGGAUUUACUGGGCGUAAAGGGCGCGUAGGCGGCCAGCGCAAGUCAGUUGUGAAAUCUCCGGGCUUAACUCGGAAAGGUCAACUGAUACUGCGCGGCUAGAGUGCGGAAGGGGCAACUGGAAUUCUCGGUGUAGCGGUGAAAUGCGUAGAUAUCGAGAGGAACACCAGUGGCGAAGGCGGCUUCCUGGCCCGUUCUUGACGCUGAGGCGCGAAAGCUAGGGGAGCAAACGGG
Molecule: ribosomal RNA, 254 nt
Filed under: uncultured bacterium
Lineage: Bacteria
Description: partial 16S ribosomal RNA
Rfam family: Bacterial small subunit ribosomal RNA
Source: RNAcentral